Non-coding RNA from Manis javanica (Malayan pangolin), 711 nucleotides. Lineage: Eukaryota; Metazoa; Chordata; Mammalia; Pholidota; Manidae. The record is from RefSeq and is a predicted model, not a curated record.
GUCAUGAAAGCAGAGCCCAUAUGGGUGGAGGGAAUGUCCUUUUAAAAGAGACCCAGCCUGACCCUCCAUGUGAGGUUACAAUAAGAGCACAGCCAUCCGAGAGACCUCACCAGACACCAAAGCUGCUGGCACCUUGAUGUUGGACCUUCCAGCCUCUGAAACAGCAAUGUGUAAACAAGGAAGGAAAUGCCAGGCUGUUAACAUGUUAGAGAGACCCAGUCUUGGCCAAACUUGGUGCCAUGGCAAGAGACAUCAAAGAUCUGCGUUCGAGCCCAGCUCUGCACUGGUGACUUCCCUGCAACACGGAGCCGAGUUCCAUCCUUCCUAACGCAAGCAUCCUCAAGCAAUCAAAGGGCGCUACGUGAAGUAAAGACCCUAGACUGGGAUCUCCGAUGCACGAGUGUCUCUGUGGAACAGAGAGACUGUGUGAGACUUGGGAGUCCAAGCAGUUGCUUCUUGACGACAUUGCCUCGGGGGCCUGAGUGGUCACCAGCAGAGGGAAAGUUCUGGCUCCUAGCAGGGCAAGGCUCUCCUAGAAGGCAUGGAGGGAGGGAGUGCUGAAGUGCCCAUCUUAAUUGGCUUACAGGCUUCAGCAAGGAGGUCAAAACAUGAGUGGACUAUCUCAAAAAAGAAUUCCCUCAGAUUUUGGAGGUUUGCAGCUGAAAUCUGGUGGCCCGCAGGCAAGAUGAGGGCCCCUGCAAUUUAGGGAAU